Tritrichomonas musculus is the source of this 72-nucleotide non-coding RNA. NCBI's taxonomy places the organism in Eukaryota, Parabasalia, Tritrichomonadida, Tritrichomonadidae. The record is from the annotation of a GenBank genome assembly.
GGGACAAUAGUCUAACGGUUAGGAUGCAAGACUGUCACUCUUGAGGUUUGGGUUCAAUUCCCAGUUGCCCCG